Molecule: ribosomal RNA, 164 nt
Filed under: Clematis songorica
Lineage: Eukaryota; Viridiplantae; Streptophyta; Magnoliopsida; Ranunculales; Ranunculaceae
Also listed under: 1 other name
Description: 5.8S ribosomal RNA
Rfam family: 5.8S ribosomal RNA
About the family: 5.8S ribosomal RNA (5.8S rRNA) is a component of the large subunit of the eukaryotic ribosome. It is transcribed by RNA polymerase I as part of the 45S precursor that also contains 18S and 28S rRNA. Functionally, it is thought that 5.8S rRNA may be involved in ribosome translocation.
Source: RNAcentral
GACUCUCGGCAACGGAUAUCUCGGCUCUUGCAUCGAUGAAGAACGUAGCGAAAUGCGAUACUUGGUGUGAAUUGCAGAAUCCCGUGAACCAUCGAGUCUUUGAACGCAAGUUGCGCCCGAAGUCUUUUAGACCGAGGGCACGUCUGCCUGGGCGUCACACACAG